ACUAACUUAGUAUAAACUAGUACAUAUGGCUGUAAACUAUAAAGUAAUUAUUAAUUAGUUAGUU
This 64-nucleotide transfer RNA is filed under the name Dactylogyrus lamellatus. Its description in RNAcentral is "tRNA-Tyr". Lineage: Eukaryota; Metazoa; Platyhelminthes; Monogenea; Dactylogyridea; Dactylogyridae. The record is from RNAcentral.